CCUACGGGUGGCAGCAGUGAGGAAUAUUGGUCAAUGGGCGUAAGCCUGAACCAGCCAAGUCGCGUGAGGGAUGAAGGUUCUAUGGAUCGUAAACCUCUUUUAUAAGGGAAUAAAGUGUGGGACGUGUCCUGUUUUGUAUGUACCUUAUGAAUAAGGAUCGGCUGACUCCGUGCCAGCAGCCGCGGUAAUACGGAGGAUCCGAGCGUUAUCCGGAUUUAUUGGGUUUAAAGGGUGCGUAGGCUGCCUUUUAAGUCAGCGGUGAAAGUCUGUGGCUCAACCAUAGAAUUGCCGUUGAAACUGGGAGGCUUGAGUAUGUUUGAGGCAGGCGGAAUGCGUGGUGUAGUGGUGAAAUGCGUAGAUAUCACGCAGAACCCCGAUUGCGAAGGCAGCCUGCCAAGCCAUGACUGACGCUGAUGCACGAAAGCGUGGGGAUCAAACAGGAUUAGAUACCCCUGUAGUC
This 460-nucleotide ribosomal RNA is filed under the name uncultured bacterium. RNAcentral describes it as "partial 16S ribosomal RNA". It matches the Rfam family "Bacterial small subunit ribosomal RNA", at positions 338 to 795 of the family's 1533-position model. The record is from RNAcentral.